This 485-nucleotide ribosomal RNA is filed under the name uncultured bacterium. Its description in RNAcentral is "bacterial SSU rRNA". It matches the Rfam family "Bacterial small subunit ribosomal RNA", at positions 29 to 526 of the family's 1533-position model. The record is from RNAcentral.
AUUGAACGCUGGCGGCAUGCUUUACACAUGCAAGUCGAACGGCAGCACGGGUGCUUGCACCUGGUGGCGAGUGGCGAACGGGUGAGUAAUGCAUCGGAACGUGCCCAUGAGUGGGGGAUAGCCCGGCGAAAGCCGGAUUAAUACCGCAUACGCCCUUAGGGGGAAAGCGGGGGAUCUUCGGACCUCGCGCUAUUGGAGCGGCCGAUGUCGGAUUAGCUAGUAGGUGAGGUAAAGGCUCACCUAGGCGACGAUCCGUAGCUGGUCUGAGAGGAUGAUCAGCCACACUGGGACUGAGACACGGCCCAGACUCCUACGGGAGGCAGCAGUGGGGAAUUUUGGACAAUGGGCGCAAGCCUGGCGCAGCCACGCCGCGUGAGUGAUGAAGGCCCGAGGGUCGUAAAGCUCUGUCGGGAGGGAAGAACGAAAAUGACGGUACCUCCCAAGAAAGCACCGGCUAACUCCGUGCCAGCAGCCGCGGUAAAGUC